Molecule: long non-coding RNA, 2804 nt
Filed under: Piliocolobus tephrosceles (Ugandan red Colobus)
Lineage: Eukaryota; Metazoa; Chordata; Mammalia; Primates; Cercopithecidae
Description: lncRNA (ENSPTEG00000018786.1)
Source: RNAcentral
GUGUACGUCCACAACUCGUACGGGUACUUCUAUAUGUAAAUGCUUUUUAAAAUGAUGUUAAAAAGUGAUCAUUUAUUAAACAAUUGUAAAAUGGAUAAUAGUAAUAAUAGAGAUGGGAUGGACAAAGUACCUGAUAAAUGUAGUGUAGCGAUGAAUAAGGAAUUUAAUAGUAAAAUGGAUUCCAUUAUAGAAUUUGCGGAUAAAUCGAAAAAUAUAAUUUGCCUUAUGCAGUCGAAAAACAAGACAAGAAAACAAGAAGUAGAAAAUGAAUAUAUGUUUUUGAAAGAAAUAGGAGGUGUUUGUAAAAAAAGCUGCGAGUAUUAUUUUGAUACAAAUGUUAAUUUUCAUGAAUCAUGCGAAAAUUUUAAUAUAAUGUUUAAAAUAUUUCAUGACUCGCUAGUUGGUUUAAAAAGCAAAUAUGAAGAAGUUAACGAACUUGGUAAAAAGUUAAAAACUAUUGAAGAAAAUAAAAUUCUUGAAAUGAAAGAAAAAGAAGAGAUAAAUGAAAAAUUAAAAAAUGAAUUAUGUACAUUAGAGAAAAAUAUCGAAUUUAUGAAUACCGAGUCAGGAAAUAUAGCAAAUCGAAUAAAAGAAAUUGAUUAUCAAAUAAAUCAACAUAAGGAGGCUUUAGAAUCUUUUCAAAUAUUAACUCAUUUAAAUAGUGAAAAAAUAACAAUUUCACAAAAUGAUUAUAAAAAAUUAUGUGACGAUAAAGAAAAAAUAAUUUGUUCGAUAAAUGAAAUGAACGUUAAUAUGGAAAAUUUAGGUGAAAAUGUAGUUAUACAAACAAAGGAAUUGGAGGAAAAUAAGGACGCACUACUUACAAACAAAAAGGAGCUUAAACGAAAGAUUGAAAAUAUAAUAAUAGAUAAAAAAGACUCAAUUUCAAUCAAUACAAGAUUACAACAACAAAUACAGUUUUUAGAAAACCAAAUAGCAUCACAAGAAUAUUUUUUAAAUGCUAUUAAUUGUGGUUUACAAAAUGCUAUCGAAAAAAAAGAAGAACUUGAAAAUUUAUUGAAUAAUACAAAAAAUGAUACAAAUAGUAUGAUAAAACAAAUUGAAUUAACAAAAACAGAUAUUUUAGAAAAUACAAAAGAAAAAGAAAAUUUAAAUUUAAAAAUUAAAAAUUUACAAGAAAUAUUAAAAAAUAAAAAAAAAGAAUUAGAACAAAUUACAAAUGAAGAUAAUGCAUUAAAUUUUGAAAUAGAAAGUGAAAAAAAAAAAAUAAAUAAAAAUAUGCUUAAAGAUUUGUUAAAAGAAAAAAGUUGUAUAGAUGAAGAAAUUAAUAAUUACAAAACAGAGCUUCAAAAUUUGUUACAAAGUGAAAGUAAAAAAAUGGGAAAUAUUUUUGAUAGUAUAAAAAUGGAUGCUGUUAUAGGAGAAGAUUGUAAUGGAAGUAAUUCUGUUAGUAAUAUCGAUCGAGAUGGUAAGACUGUUCGAGAUGGUAAAACUGGUAGAGAUGGUAAAACUAGUUUAGAUGGUAAGAUUGGCCUAGAUGAGAUUAACAAUAGUAAUGUAACAGAUAAAACUAAAAAAGUCAGUACAAGUGUUGAUAAACAAACGAAUAUUAUAAUAACAUUAGAAAAGAUAUUAAACGAUUUAAAAAAAGAGAUUAAAAAGGGACAAGAUAAUAUAUGGGGUAAUGAAAAAGUUAUACUAAAAAAAAAAGAUGAAAUUAAAAAAUUAGAAACUGAAAUAAAUGAAAAGGUAAAAAUGAAUAACAAAAUAGAUAAUAUUGUGAGUAAAAAAAAAGAAGAAUUAAUAUCGAUGAAUAAAAAGGAAAAAGAAGGAGAUAGCCGUUUAAUAUUUUUAAAAAAAGAUUUACAAAAAUUAGAAAAAAAUCAUAAAAAAGAAUAUGAACAGUUCAUAGAAAUUGAGAAUAAAUUAAAAGAAAUUGAAAAAAAAAAUGAAGAAAAAAUAAUAGAAUUACAUAAAAAAUAUAAUGAAAAAACUAAAAGUUUAUAUGAUACAAAAAAUAACAAAUUGGAUAUUCAAUCAGCAGAAAAACAAAAAAUGAAAGAAGAAAUAGAUAUUUACUCUGAACAAUUAAAAAAAGAAUAUGAACAAAAAAAAAAAGAGUUUGAAAAAAUGGAAAAUGAAAAAUAUGAUGAAAUAUGUAAUAAAAUGGAAGAAGAAUUGAAUAAAAAAGAAAAUCUUAUUAAUUAUUAUAAAGAAUUGUUAACUAAACAAGGAUUAAAAAUAGGAGACUUAGGUUUUAAUACUAAUAAAACAAAUGGUAACAAUUAUAUAAAAAUAAUGAAUACACAAAAUAAAAAUGUUAUUACAACAUCUACUGUUGAUAUUGAUAUAAAUAGUAAAAAAAUGUCUGACGUUGUUAAUAACAAUGGUAGUAAUAGUUACAAAACUGACAGUAGUAAUAAUAAUGAUUGUUUUGUUACUAAUUCAACUGAAGAUAAUGGAAAAAAUAUAAAUCAAUACAAAUUACAUAGUAUACCUGACCAAUAUAAAUUUAAUUAUUUUGAUGUGACAUCACCAGCUGUUGUAAGAAAAAAUAUACAACUUCCUAGCCGUUCAGUAAAAUCUCCACAUAUAGCCAGAUUACUUGAAAAAAUCAAAAAUCGUAAAAACUGUCAACAACCGUUGGCUACUAACAUUAAUAGGGUUUCACUGAACCAAGCGAUUAAUACGGCGGGAAAAAGAGGUAGAAGUAGUAUUAGUAAUAACUCAAGCGGAGGUACAUUAAACAAUAAUAAUAAACCGUUUGUCACUAAUGCAAAAAAUAGUAAAAUUAAUAAUUCGUUUGAUUUGUUUCAUCAUUUGUGAGGGAGAAUUUUAAUAGC